CCUACGGGUGGCUGCAGUGAGGAAUAUUGGUCAAUGGACGCAAGUCUGAACCAGCCAUGCCGCGUGCAGGAGGACGGCUCUAUGAGUUGUAGACUGCUUUUGUACGAGGGUAAACGCAGAUACGCGUAUCUGUAUGAAAGUAUAGUACGAAUAAGGAUCGGCUAACUCCGUGCCAGCAGCCGCGGUAAUACGGAGGAUUCAAGCGUUAUCCGGUUUUAGUGGGUUUAAAGGGUGCGUAGGCGGUCGGAUAAGUUAGAGGUGAAAUCCCGAGGCUCAACUUCGGAAUUGCAUUUGAUACUGUUCGGCUAGAGUGUAGUUGCGGUAGGCGGAAUGUAUGGUGUAGCGGUGAAAUGCUUAGAGAUCAUACAGAACACCGAUUGCGAAGGCAGCUUACCAAGCUAUUUCUGACGUUGAGGCACGAAAGCGUGGGUAGCAAACAGGAUUAGAUACCCGAGUAGUC
RNAcentral lists this ribosomal RNA (460 nucleotides) under uncultured bacterium. Its description in RNAcentral is "partial 16S ribosomal RNA". It matches the Rfam family "Bacterial small subunit ribosomal RNA", at positions 338 to 795 of the family's 1533-position model. The record is from RNAcentral.